RNAcentral lists this ribosomal RNA (914 nucleotides) under uncultured Bacillota bacterium. RNAcentral describes it as "bacterial SSU rRNA". It matches the Rfam family "Bacterial small subunit ribosomal RNA", at positions 1 to 916 of the family's 1533-position model. The record is from RNAcentral. Lineage: Bacteria; Bacillati; Bacillota.
GGAUCCAGACUUUGAUCAUGGCUCAGGACGAACGCUGGCGGCGCGCCUAACACAUGCAAGUCGAACGAAGUUUACGGGACUGAUCCUUCGGGUGAUCGAACGCAAACUUAGUGGCGGACGGGUGAGUAACACGUGAGCAACCUGCCCUACAGUGGGGGAUAACGUUUUGAAAAGAACGCUAAUACCGCAUAACGUAUCGGAGAGGCAUCUUUCUGAUACCAAAGGAGCAAUCCGCUGUAAGAUGGGCUCGCGUCCGAUUAGCCAGUUGGCGGGGUAACGGCCCACCAAAGCGACGAUCGGUAGCCGGACUGAGAGGUUGAACGGCCACAUUGGGACUGAGACACGGCCCAGACUCCUACGGGAGGCAGCAGUGGGGGAUAUUGCACAAUGGGGGAAACCCUGAUGCAGCGACGCCGCGUGAGGGAAGAAGGUCUUCGGAUUGUAAACCUCUGUCUUCGGUGACGAAAAUGACGGUAGCCGAGGAGGAAGCCACGGCUAACUACGUGCCAGCAGCCGCGGUAAUACGUAGGUGGCAAGCGUUGUCCGGAAUUACUGGGUGUAAAGGGAGCGUAGGCGGGAAUACAAGUUGAAUGUGAAAACUAUGGGCUCAACCCAUAGUUGCGUUCAAAACUGUGUUUCUUGAGUGAAGUAGAGGUAAGCGGAGUUCCUAGUGUAGCGGUGAAAUGCGUAAAUAUUAGGAGGAACACCAGUGGCGAAGGCGGCUUACUGGGCUUUAACUGACGCUGAGGCUCGAAAGCGUGGGUAGCAAACAGGAUUAGAUACCCUGGUAGUCCACGCUGUAAACGAUGAUUACUAGGUGUGGGGGGACUGACCCCUUCCGUGCCGGAGUUAACACAAUAAGUAAUCCACCUGGGGAGUACGACCGCAAGGUUGCAACUCAAAGGAAUUGACGG